Molecule: long non-coding RNA, 102 nt
Organism: Salarias fasciatus (jewelled blenny)
Lineage: Eukaryota; Metazoa; Chordata; Actinopteri; Blenniiformes; Blenniidae
Exons: 3
Source: RefSeq, a predicted model, not a curated record
UGUGUGUAUGGUUUCUUUACAGAAACAACCAACAGCACCAACUCCUGGCCUGGCAUGCCAACUAUGUUGUUUUCAGCAUCCCGGGUGUUUCCAUGGAAACGG